UACGUAGGGGGCAAGCGUUGUCCGGAUUUAUUGGGCGUAAAGAGCGUGUAGGCGGCCAUUCAGGUCAGCUGUGAAAACUCGAGGCUCAACCUCGAGACGUCGGUUGAAACCGUCUGGCUAGAGUCCGGAAGAGGAGAGUGGAAUUCCCGGUGUAGCGGUGAAAUGCGCAGAUAUCGGGAAGAACACCCGUGGCGAAGGCGGCUCUCUGGGACGGUACUGACGCU
Molecule: ribosomal RNA, 224 nt
Filed under: uncultured bacterium
Lineage: Bacteria
Description: partial 16S ribosomal RNA
Rfam family: Bacterial small subunit ribosomal RNA
Source: RNAcentral